RNAcentral lists this non-coding RNA (21 nucleotides) under Caenorhabditis elegans. The record is from RNAcentral. Lineage: Eukaryota; Metazoa; Nematoda; Chromadorea; Rhabditida; Rhabditidae.
UUAGAUAGUUUUUGUGAAUUU